This 264-nucleotide ribosomal RNA is filed under the name uncultured bacterium. RNAcentral describes it as "partial 16S ribosomal RNA". It matches the Rfam family "Bacterial small subunit ribosomal RNA", at positions 524 to 777 of the family's 1533-position model. The record is from RNAcentral.
UACGAAGGGUGCAAACGUUUGCGUCGGAAUUAUUGGGCGUAAAGGCGCACGUAGGCGGCUUGGCAAGUCGGAUGUGAAAUCCCUCGGCUCAACCAAAGGAAGUGCAUCCGAAACUGCUGAGCUUGAGUACUUAAGGAGGAUCGCGGAAUUCCCGGUGUAGAGGUGAAAUUCGUAGAUAUCGGGAGGAACACCUGUGGCGAAAGCGGACGCACUGGACCGACAACUGACGCUGAGGCGACGAAAGGCGUGGGGAAGCAAAGCAGG